CCUACGGGUGGCUGCAGUGGGGAAUAUUGGACAAUGGGCGAAAGCCUGAUCCAGCAACGCCGCGUGAGGGAUGACGGCCUUCGGGUUGUAAACCUCUUUCAGUAGGGACGAAGCGCAAGUGACGGUACCUACAGAAGAAGCACCGGCCAACUACGUGCCAGCAGCCGCGGUAAUACGUAGGGUGCGAGCGUUGUCCGGAAUUAUUGGGCGUAAAGGGCUCGUAGGCGGUUUGUCACGUCGGGAGUGAAAACUCGGGGCUUAACUCCGAGCCUGCUUCCGAUACGGGCUGACUAGAGGUAUGCAGGGGAGAACGGAAUUCCUGGUGUAGCGGUGAAAUGCGCAGAUAUCAGGAGGAACACCGGUGGCGAAGGCGGUUCUCUGGGCAUUACCUGACGCUGAGGAGCGAAAGUGUGGGGAGCGAACAGGAUUAGAUACCCCAGUAGUCC
This 446-nucleotide ribosomal RNA is filed under the name uncultured Nocardioidaceae bacterium. Its description in RNAcentral is "bacterial SSU rRNA". It matches the Rfam family "Bacterial small subunit ribosomal RNA", at positions 338 to 796 of the family's 1533-position model. The record is from RNAcentral. Lineage: Bacteria; Bacillati; Actinomycetota; Actinomycetes; Propionibacteriales; Nocardioidaceae.